Molecule: long non-coding RNA, 154 nt
Organism: Haliotis rubra (blacklip abalone)
Lineage: Eukaryota; Metazoa; Mollusca; Gastropoda; Lepetellida; Haliotidae
Exons: 2
Source: RefSeq, a predicted model, not a curated record
GGCCAGCUUCAGGUCUUCCUAGCGCCUGGUUCCUCUGAGGUGUCGUGAGUCGCGUCAUCCUGCUGACGUUGAGAUGUGAAUGUUUCAACCAGGUUCCGGGUGCAUUUUAUAGGGCUGGUCCUUGUGAACAGCACGUGCAGCAUGAGUUGCAUGA